Molecule: ribosomal RNA, 497 nt
Filed under: uncultured bacterium
Lineage: Bacteria
Description: partial 16S ribosomal RNA
Rfam family: Bacterial small subunit ribosomal RNA
Source: RNAcentral
GAUGAACGCUGGCGGCGUGCCUAAUACAUGCAAGUCGAGCGAACAGACGAGGAGCUUGCUCCUCUGACGUUAGCGGCGGACGGGUGAGUAACACGUGGAUAACCUACCUAUAAGACUGGGAUAACUUCGGGAAACCGGAGCUAAUACCGGAUAACAUGUUGAACCGCAUGGUUUAACAGUGAAAGACGGUCUUGCUGUCACUUAUAGAUGGAUCCGCGCCGCAUUAGCUAGUUGGUAAGGUAACGGCUUACCAAGGCAACGAUGCGUAGCCGACCUGAGAGGGUGAUCGGCCACACUGGAACUGAGACACGGUCCAGACUCCUACGGGAGGCAGCAGUAGGGAAUCUUCCGGAAUGGGCGAAAGCCUGACGGAGCAACGCCGCGUGAGUGAAGAAGGUCUUCGGAUCGUAAAACUCUGUUAUUAGGGAAGAACAAAUGUUUAAGUAACUAUGCACGUCUUGACGGUACCUAAUCAGAAAGCCACGGCUAACUACGUG